RNAcentral lists this ribosomal RNA (454 nucleotides) under uncultured bacterium. Its description in RNAcentral is "partial 16S ribosomal RNA". It matches the Rfam family "Bacterial small subunit ribosomal RNA", at positions 28 to 507 of the family's 1533-position model. The record is from RNAcentral.
GAUGAACGCUGACAGAAUGCUUAACACAUGCAAGUCUACUUGAACUUCGGUUUGGGUGGCGGACGGGUGAGUAACGCGUAAAGAACUUGCCUCACAGAUAGGGACAACAUUUGGAAACGAAUGCUAAUACCUGAUAUUAUGAUUUUAGGGCAUCCUAGAAUUAUGAAAGCUAUAUGCACUGUGAGAGAGCUUUGCGUCCCAUUAGCUAGUUGGAGAGGUAACGGCUUAACGAGGCGAUGAUGGGUAGCCGGCCUGAGAGGGUGAACGGCCACAAGGGGACUGAGACACGGCCCUUGCUCCUACGGGAGGCAGCGGUGGAGAAUAAUGGACAGUGGACCAAGAGUCUGAUCCAGCAGUUCUGUGUGCACGAUGAAGUUUUUCGGAAUGUAAAGUGCUUUCAGUUGGGAGGAAAAAUAUGACGGUACCAACAGAAGAAGUUACGGCUAAAUACGUG